CCUACGGGCGGCUGCAGUGGGGAAUAUUGCACAAUGGGCGCAAGCCUGACGCAGCCAUGCCGCGUGUGUGAAGAAGGCCUUCGGGUUGUAAAGCACUUUCAGCGGGGAGGAAGGCGUUAAGGUUAAUAACCUUGUCGAUUGACGUUACCCGCAGAAGAAGCACCGGCUAACUCCGUGCCAGCAGCCGCGGUAAUACGGAGGGUGCAAGCGUUAAUCGGAAUUACUGGGCGUAAAGCGCACGCAGGCGGUCUGUCAAGUCGGAUGUGAAAUCCCCGGGCUCAACCUGGGAACUGCAUUCGAAACUGGCAGGCUAGAGUCUUGUAGAGGGGGGUAGAAUUCCAGGUGUAGCGGUGAAAUGCGUAGAGAUCUGGAGGAAUACCGGUGGCGAAGGCGGCCCCCUGGAUAAAGACUGACGCUCAGGUGCGAAAGCGUGGGGAGCAAACAGGAUCAGAUACCCGUGUAGUC
This 465-nucleotide ribosomal RNA is filed under the name uncultured Klebsiella sp. RNAcentral's name for it is "bacterial SSU rRNA". It matches the Rfam family "Bacterial small subunit ribosomal RNA", at positions 338 to 795 of the family's 1533-position model. The record is from RNAcentral. Lineage: Bacteria; Pseudomonadati; Pseudomonadota; Gammaproteobacteria; Enterobacterales; Enterobacteriaceae.